RNAcentral lists this small RNA (83 nucleotides) under Marmota monax (woodchuck). The record is from RNAcentral. Lineage: Eukaryota; Metazoa; Chordata; Mammalia; Rodentia; Sciuridae.
GCCGAGUGUGGUGGCGCACGCCUGUAAUCCCAGCAGCUGAGGAGGCUGAGGCAGGAGGAUGGAGAGUUCAAAGCCAGUCUCAG